RNAcentral lists this long non-coding RNA (891 nucleotides) under Panax ginseng (ginseng). RNAcentral describes it as "long non-coding RNA (PGIN_LNC007842)". Lineage: Eukaryota; Viridiplantae; Streptophyta; Magnoliopsida; Apiales; Araliaceae. The record is from RNAcentral.
UGAAUGCAAGCUGAUGAGGUUUCGAAUACUAGCCUGCUUUGGCUUCUUAUUUAGACCUCUAAUAUUUAGUGAAAUAAAAUUAACCAUAGAAAUAAAAGGAUUUAUAUUGGGGAUUUUUUACCUCCCCCGCCCUUGUUUUUCUUCUUUGGUUUCUGACAGAAAUCACUAGAACUCAUGGCCUUAUUCUUGAGCUCCCUGUCGUCCUUAUCAUCAAUGAGUUUCAAUUUAUCAACAAGGGGAUUAGGCCUAGGGGCAGAGUCUGCGUCAGAAAGACCAGCUUCAAUCAAGGAAACAAUAGGAGAGAUAGGCAGGAAGGAAUUCUAUAUAGCAGGAAUAGAGUUUUGUUCCAGACCAUCAGAGGAGGCAAUAAAUUGCUUUGAGCCCUUCGAGACUAUAGUCUAAUUAUCAGCUGACUCCGGGGUUGGAGGAACUUGAGCAUCUAUAUAUCCAUGAGAAACACCAUCCAAAGAGGGGACUUAGGGUUUUUCACAACCAGAUGACUAAGAUGGAACAAUAUGAGUCUUACCUAAAUUCAUUGGAACUCAUUUAUAGUUUGCACGAGGAAACUUUAGCAUAGAAUGACCAAAAGAUUUGCAAUGGGAGAAAAUCUGAGGAUUAUUUUGGUUUUCCACCUUGACUUCAACCACUUUCUCAGAGCAAGUUUCAGGGAGCGUAGAAGUUGAAAAGAUUUCAAUACAAAUACGCGCUCAAUACAAAUACGCGCGAAGUUUAUUGGCUGCAGCUUUUCAGUAAUUUUGUCAGCAAACAGAGGCUUUCCAAUUCUAAUAGCAAUUUAGUUGAGGCCCUUAGGUGUCUAGUAGGACAAAGGAACAUGGUGAAAUUUUACCCAGACUAGGGUUUUUGAAUAGAACUCCGAAAGGACAUCAAAAC